CCUACGGGUGGCAGCAGUGGGGGAUAUUGCACAAUGGGGGGAACCCUGAUGCAGCGACGCCGCGUGGGUGAAGAAGCGCCUCGGCGCGUAAAGCCCUGUCAGCAGGGAAGAAAAUGACGGUACCUGAAGCAGAAGCCCCGGCUAACUACGUGCCAGCAGCCGCGGUAAUACGUAGGGGGCAAGCGUUAUCCGGAUUUACUGGGUGUAAAGGGGGCGCAGACGGCGAUGCAAGCCAGGCGUGAAAGCCCGGGGCCCAACCCCGGGACUGCUCUUGGAACUGCGUGGCUGGAGGGCAGGAGGGGCAGGCGGAAAUCCUGGUGUAGCGGGGAAAAGCGGAGAUAGCAGGAGGAACACCGGGGGGGAAGGCGGCCUGCUGGACUGCAACUGACGUUGAGGCCCGAAAGCGGGGGGAGCAAACAGGAUUAGAUACCCCUGUAGUC
This 440-nucleotide ribosomal RNA is filed under the name uncultured bacterium. RNAcentral's name for it is "partial 16S ribosomal RNA". It matches the Rfam family "Bacterial small subunit ribosomal RNA", at positions 338 to 795 of the family's 1533-position model. The record is from RNAcentral.